AGUCCCGCAGGCACCAAGCUGCAAACUUGGUAACGCACCCUAAGAGGUGCCGGGGCUUC
Molecule: transfer RNA, 59 nt
Filed under: Cyrtodactylus saiyok
Lineage: Eukaryota; Metazoa; Chordata; Lepidosauria; Squamata; Gekkonidae
Description: tRNA-Cys
Source: RNAcentral